This 253-nucleotide ribosomal RNA is filed under the name uncultured bacterium. RNAcentral describes it as "partial 16S ribosomal RNA". It matches the Rfam family "Bacterial small subunit ribosomal RNA", at positions 524 to 776 of the family's 1533-position model. The record is from RNAcentral.
UACGUAGGGAGCAAGCGUUGUCCGGAAUCAUUGGGCGUAAAGCGCGCGUAGGUGGCUUCGUAAGUCCGUUGUGAAAGUCAAAGGCUCAACCUUUGAAAGCCGAUGGAUACUGCGGAGCUAGAGUACGGAAGAGGCGAGUGGAAUUCCCGGUGUAGCGGUGAAAUGCGCAGAUAUCGGGAGGAACACCAACGGCGAAGGCAGCUUGCUGGGACGGUACUGACGCUGAGAUGCGAAAGCGUGGGGAGCAAACAGG